AUACGAUGAUGAGGACAUCUUUUGAGUAACUCUUUAAAUCUUUCCCAUGCAUUAUACAAGCUCUCAUCUUCAAGUUGAUGGAAAUAUGUGAUCUCGUUCUUCAAUUU
This is a non-coding RNA of Citrus sinensis (sweet orange), 107 nucleotides long. NCBI's taxonomy places the organism in Eukaryota, Viridiplantae, Streptophyta, Magnoliopsida, Sapindales, Rutaceae. The record is from Rfam.